This 1676-nucleotide ribosomal RNA is filed under the name Escherichia coli. RNAcentral's name for it is "bacterial LSU rRNA". It matches the Rfam family "Bacterial large subunit ribosomal RNA", at positions 1271 to 2925 of the family's 2925-position model. The record is from RNAcentral. Lineage: Bacteria; Pseudomonadati; Pseudomonadota; Gammaproteobacteria; Enterobacterales; Enterobacteriaceae.
UGCUGGAGGUAUCAGAAGUGCGAAUGCUGACAUAAGUAACGAUAAAGCGGGUGAAAAGCCCGCUCGCCGGAAGACCAAGGGUUCCUGUCCAACGUUAAUCGGGGCAGGGUGAGUCGACCCCUAAGGCGAGGCCGAAAGGCGUAGUCGAUGGGAAACAGGUUAAUAUUCCUGUACUUGGUGUUACUGCGAAGGGGGGACGGAGAAGGCUAUGUUGGCCGGGCGACGGUUGUCCCGGUUUAAGCGUGUAGGCUGGUUUUCCAGGCAAAUCCGGAAAAUCAAGGCUGAGGCGUGAUGACGAGGCACUACGGUGCUGAAGCAACAAAUGCCCUGCUUCCAGGAAAAGCCUCUAAGCAUCAGGUAACAUCAAAUCGUACCCCAAACCGACACAGGUGGUCAGGUAGAGAAUACCAAGGCGCUUGAGAGAACUCGGGUGAAGGAACUAGGCAAAAUGGUGCCGUAACUUCGGGAGAAGGCACGCUGAUAUGUAGGUGAAGCGACUUGCUCGUGGAGCUGAAAUCAGUCGAAGAUACCAGCUGGCUGCAACUGUUUAUUAAAAACACAGCACUGUGCAAACACGAAAGUGGACGUAUACGGUGUGACGCCUGCCCGGUGCCGGAAGGUUAAUUGAUGGGGUUAGCGGUAACGCGAAGCUCUUGAUCGAAGCCCCGGUAAACGGCGGCCGUAACUAUAACGGUCCUAAGGUAGCGAAAUUCCUUGUCGGGUAAGUUCCGACCUGCACGAAUGGCGUAAUGAUGGCCAGGCUGUCUCCGCCCGAGACUCAGUGAAAUUGAACUCGCUGUGAAGAUGCAGUGUACCCGCGGCAAGACGGAAAGACCCCGUGAACCUUUACUAUAGCUUGACACUGAACAUUGAGCCUUGAUGUGUAGGAUAGGUGGGAGGCUUUGAAGUGUGGACGCCAGUCUGCAUGGAGCCGACCUUGAAAUACCACCCUUUAAUGUUUGAUGUUCUAACGUUGGCCCGUAAUCCGGGUUGCGGACAGUGUCUGGUGGGUAGUUUGACUGGGGCGGUCUCCUCCUAAAGAGUAACGGAGGAGCACGAAGGUUGGCUAAUCCUGGUCGGACAUCAGGAGGUUAGUGCAAUGGCAUAAGCCAGCUUGACUGCGAGCGUGACGGCGCGAGCAGGUGCGAAAGCAGGUCAUAGUGAUCCGGUGGUUCUGAAUGGAAGGGCCAUCGCUCAACGGAUAAAAGGUACUCCGGGGAUAACAGGCUGAUACCGCCCAAGAGUUCAUAUCGACGGCGGUGUUUGGCACCUCGAUGUCGGCUCAUCACAUCCUGGGGCUGAAGUAGGUCCCAAGGGUAUGGCUGUUCGCCAUUUAAAGUGGUACGCGAGCUGGGUUUAGAACGUCGUGAGACAGUUCGGUCCCUAUCUGCCGUGGGCGCUGGAGAACUGAGGGGGGCUGCUCCUAGUACGAGAGGACCGGAGUGGACGCAUCACUGGUGUUCGGGUUGUCAUGCCAAUGGCACUGCCCGGUAGCUAAAUGCGGAAGAGAUAAGUGCUGAAAGCAUCUAAGCACGAAACUUGCCCCGAGAUGAGUUCUCCCUGAGACUUUAAGUCUCCUGAAGGAACGUUGAAGACGACGACGUUGAUAGGCCGGGUGUGUAAGCGCAGCGAUGCGUUGAGCUAACCGGUACUAAUGAACCGUGAGGCUUAACCUU